This 429-nucleotide ribosomal RNA is filed under the name Acidobacteriota bacterium. RNAcentral's name for it is "Acidobacteria bacterium partial 16S ribosomal RNA". It matches the Rfam family "Bacterial small subunit ribosomal RNA", at positions 355 to 776 of the family's 1533-position model. Lineage: Bacteria; Pseudomonadati; Acidobacteriota. The record is from RNAcentral.
UGGGGAAUUUUGGACAAUGGGGGAAACCCUGAUCCAGCCAUCCCGCGUGUGCGAUGAUGGCCUUCGGGUUGUAAAGCACUUUUGGCAGGAAAGAAACGUCAUGGGUUAAUACCCCGUGAAACUGACGGUACCUGCAGAAUAAGCACCGGCUAACUACGUGCCAGCAGCCGCGGUAAUACGUAGGGUGCAAGCGUUAAUCGGAGUUACUGGGCGUAAAGCGUGCGCAGGCGGUUCGGAAAGAAAGAUGUGAAAUCCCAGAGCUCAACUUUGGAACUGCAUUUUUAACUACCUGGCUAGAGUGUGUCAGAGGGAGGUGGAAUUCCGCGUGUAGCAGUGAAAUGCGUAGAUAUGCGGAGGAACACCGAUGGCGAAGGCAGCCUCCUGGGAUAACACUGACGCUCAUGCACGAAAGCGUGGGGAGCAAACAGG